Molecule: transfer RNA, 68 nt
Filed under: Marmota monax (woodchuck)
Lineage: Eukaryota; Metazoa; Chordata; Mammalia; Rodentia; Sciuridae
Description: tRNA.Thr
Source: RNAcentral
GUUGUGGAUCAGUGGUAAAGCGCAUGCCUAGUGCACAUGAGGCACUGAGUUCAAUCCUCAGCACGACA